Molecule: long non-coding RNA, 1305 nt
Organism: Rhineura floridana
Lineage: Eukaryota; Metazoa; Chordata; Lepidosauria; Squamata; Rhineuridae
Exons: 3
Source: RefSeq, a predicted model, not a curated record
GAAAAUGAUGGCCAGGCAGUUGGAAGGAUCCAAAAGGAUAAAAGGCCAGGACAGAAUUCCUUACACAACGAAAAACACACAUGAGUCCAUCUUUAAAUCACUGAGAUGUAAAUUGUGGAACACAUGCUUUGUAGUAACUAUGGAUAGGGAUCUGUAAACCACCCUCUUUCAGUGGUGUGUGUCCAAGUCUUCUGCGGUUGUUAUUCUUUAAAAAGAAAAACGUCUGUGAGGAUGACCUGGUGCCCAUAUUGACAGGAAUGAUGGGGCUGUGCUAAAUAUGCAAGCUCUGCUGAAAGACCAUCAGGCGCCUCCUUUCCCUGGACUGUGUCUAUUUCAGCUGAUCAUUCCGAGAACUACAAUUUAACUUCAAGAACUGGUGCCUGAGUUUGCUUUUCCCUGCCUUUUCCUCUUUCUUUUGCAUUUUGCCUUUUUGAUCCUGCAGGCAGGUACUGUCUUGUUUUAAGUGACUGUACGUAAGCCACUUUAACAGCUGGUAUAGCACAGUGGGGAGGAGAGCCUGGCUGGGAGUCCAGAGUCUGUGAGUCCAAAUCCCCGCUCGUGUCUCCUGGGUGUCAAGGGCCAGCUAAAGAUCACCCCCACAGUGAGUGGCUCAGGGAUUAUGUGCCCUGCCACCUGUGCAGCUGUGAGCAAGCUGCAUGGUCCCAAGGAGCCCAGUUGCCCCCCAGCUGGCAGUUGCGGACAAGGAAGGGGCUGGCUUGUGCAGCUGUGGCAAGCUGAGCAGGCCCUAGCCAGCUGGGGAGGACUAGCCUCAGAGGGAGGCAAUGGUAACCCCCCCUCUGAAUACUGCUUACCAUGAAAACCCUAUUCAUAGGGUCGCCAUAAGUCGGGAUCGACUUGAAGGCAGACCGUCUCCUCCUCUCUCACUUAAGCCACUUUAGGAGCCUUUUUGGCUAAAGAGUGGAGUACAAGUACAAGUGCUCUAAAUACAUAAAUAAUAUAUAAGCUUGUUUGGCAGAAAGUCCCAUUGUGUUCAAUAGGUCUUACUCCCAAGUAAGUGUCACAGGAUUACAGUCUUACCUAAACUGUAUUCCAGUCCAAUGAUAUGAGACACUAUGUCAGAAAAUGGGUGUUUAUGAUGGGAUGCAAGCCGCCAACAGGAUGCACUAGGAUACAGGUGUGCCAAGGCAGGUUAGAGGUAGGUCUAUGAGCUUUAUCCAGUUCAAUAGGUGGAUUAAUCAACUCAAGCUUGAAUUGAUUGAUUGAUAUGAACCAGUUUUAACUACUGGCACUAAAAGCGAAAGGCAUACAUAUAGAUGUUUCAAGAUUAUUUUGUUUCUUGUGUGA